AUGAUUGGCUUCCUGGUGGAAUCAGGUGCGUGUCGUCCAUGCUGGCCUGUUGUGGGUGUUGGCGGGCGGCUGGAGGCGGCUGCAGCAGAACUUUCUGAAUCCGACGCUGUCAAUCGGGCCGCAGAGAGGAAGUGUGGUGGAGAUGAGAUGGGGACAGACGAUCAUGCAGCGAUGUUGUUUCUUUGUUCUCCUGCUCAAGGUUUGCUAUCGAGCUCUCAAAAAGGAAAAACAACUUUACUCUGUUUUCUGGAUAACCUUCCCGUAGAGUCACUACCUCGACAGAGACAAAUAUGCGAUCAAGGAUAUAUUCGAUGGAUUUUCAAGCAAAACUUGGAGGAUAUUUUUGCAGAUAGUUUGGUGCUCUCAUGGUUAUUUUGUAGAGAUUGCCCCUCUGUUCAUUUCUUGGUAACCAUCUACUGCAGCUCAGCUACUGUCCAGCAGCUGACCUUAUGGUGUGUGAUUGACGGUGCAUGUUUUCCUAUUAGUUUCUCUGUAUGCCAAUGUCUGAAUUUUAUCUUGCCUUUUUGCAUUUCUCAAGGCCUUCCAUUCUCACUGUGA
This 558-nucleotide ribosomal RNA is filed under the name Triticum aestivum (bread wheat). RNAcentral's name for it is "partial small subunit ribosomal RNA". Lineage: Eukaryota; Viridiplantae; Streptophyta; Magnoliopsida; Poales; Poaceae. The record is from RNAcentral.